CACAGUUAAAAAUGCAUCGUUCAUGCCCUGGCGAGCCUUGUCCUUUCCUCGAUACCGGGUGUCUGCAAAUGAGGUGAGAAUUAUUACAAAGGGUUUUACGUGGUGCACAUGGGAUACACGAAAGUUCGAUCGUGUUUUACCAAACGAUUAAGACUCUUCUUUCGGAAUUCAGACGAACUCGAUGUUAAUAAUUGCAGCGGCUAAACUGCGAACCGAUAACGACGUCUCACAAGCCCACGCGAAACUGCAUCCAAGAACGACUCGUCCAGUUGCACAGCUUUCUUCAACUUCUUUUUGAAUAUAACGUUGACAUGUAUACUUAUGUAGUGUCACUGAUGAAGACAUUGAGAAUUUGUAAAUGCAGAGUGACCCCAUUUUAGAAUAUCUGUCCGAAGAUGUCAGACAAGAAGUUAUUAUUCCUCCGUGAUCAUCGAUCUGAGAAUGAGUGAAAAAGCUGAUGAAGCGAAAGUUGACGGUUGAAAACGCCGACACUCUAUUCAUCGCAUCCUUUUUAUCCGUCAACAAUAAUCAUUCACGUUUUCUUUUUCCACUACGACGAAGCUCUCAACGCCUGGUG
Eufriesea mexicana is the source of this 577-nucleotide RNA transcript. RefSeq lists it as uncharacterized. The record is from RefSeq and is a predicted model, not a curated record. NCBI's taxonomy places the organism in Eukaryota, Metazoa, Arthropoda, Insecta, Hymenoptera, Apidae. The transcript has 3 exons.